Molecule: unclassified non-coding RNA, 433 nt
Filed under: Hevea brasiliensis (rubber tree)
Lineage: Eukaryota; Viridiplantae; Streptophyta; Magnoliopsida; Malpighiales; Euphorbiaceae
Source: RNAcentral
GUUUUGUUAUGACAAUUUUAUGAAUUAAUAAUAUUUAAGAAUUAGUUCUCUCUUCAAAGAUUGGUCCUUAUUUUUUCUUCUCUUUGGUUCUUUCCCUUGCACAACACUCAAAGUACUUGCAGAGGAAAACGCCAGAACUAGAACCAUCAGCUUGACAUGGGUUAUCGCCAAACUUGAUUAUUUUGCAUUGCUUAGGUCAAUGGAGUCCUCCAAUAAUUGAAACAUUAUAGGUUUCCAAAUUGUGCUCUAUAGAAUAAAAAAUGUAAAUAUUCUUUCUUUCUAAGUCAGCACAAGCUCCAAAGAAGUGCUCCAUAAGUAGCAUUGAAAAAAAGAUCUUUUUGUGCUUUUUAUUAUGAUAAAAAAUAUAAAUAUUCUUCCUUUCUAGGUCAGCACAAGCUCUAAAAAAGUGCUCCAUAAGUAGCAUUGAAAAAAA